GCACUGCUGAGGAGUCCCGUGCUGGGACGAAACGGUCGUCCAGUGC
RNAcentral lists this non-coding RNA (46 nucleotides) under Schistosoma mattheei. The record is from RNAcentral. Lineage: Eukaryota; Metazoa; Platyhelminthes; Trematoda; Strigeidida; Schistosomatidae.